RNAcentral lists this ribosomal RNA (468 nucleotides) under uncultured bacterium. RNAcentral describes it as "partial 16S ribosomal RNA". It matches the Rfam family "Bacterial small subunit ribosomal RNA", at positions 28 to 507 of the family's 1533-position model. The record is from RNAcentral.
GACGAACGCUGGCGGCGUGCUUAACACAUGCAAGUCGAACGGAAAGGCCCUGCUUUUGUGGGGUGCUCGAGUGGCGAACGGGUGAGUAACACGUGAAUAACCUGCCCUUGACUUUGGGAUAACUUCAGGAAACUGGGGCUAAUACCGGAUAGGAUCUCCUGCUGCAUUGUGGGGGUUGGAAAGUUUCGGCGGUUGGGGAUGGACUGGCGGCUUAUCAGCUUGCUGGUUGGGUAGUUGCUUACCAAGGCUUUGACGGGUAGCCGGCCUGUGAGGGUGAACGGCCACAAUGGGACUGAGGUACGGCCCAGACUCCUACGGGAGGCAGCAGGGGGGAAUAUUGCACAAUGGGCGGAAGCCUGAUGCAGCAACGCCGCGUGCGGGAUGACGGCCUUCGGGUUGUAAACCGCUUUCGCCUGUGACGAAGCGUGAGUGACGGUAAUGGGUAAAGAAGCACCGGCUAACUACGUG